GUUAGAAGAAAUUUGGUUUUGGAAAAAAAGAAUUCAAGCUCAAAGAUGAAAGAUUCACUCUCGUUGCUAUUAUAAUAAAUUACGAAGUGAGAUUCUAGAAAAUGAGAGAUGUUUGGUAGAAAGUUAUCAAGUUUCAUGCGUGGCUUUUCAAUAUACGACGAUGACGUGAAUUCACAAUGACGGCGCAUGCUUGAUAUCGACUUGUAGCGCAGCAACAGCUUCGUAAAACGCAGUCAUAGCCGCAGCAGCAACAGCAACGUAGAAUUUUACGUUGAAUGGAAAAGGAUAUGGAAACAGUUUUAAUAUUCGUUGAAACUUUACAGAUGUUUGGAUAAUCUAUCUUUCGGGUGGAUCUCUUAAAUCAUCUGUUCGAAUCUUGAGAGGAGAAUAUAACGCUAAGCUCGAUAUAUGUAUAAUUUCAUUGAAAUCCGUUUAGCCGUUUAAAUGCAAUCGUGUUAACAAACAUAAACGGAUAACGAGUGAACACGUUCUUCGCAGAUUGUGUGUAGUAAAUACGGCAAGCAAAGGGAAUGGGGUUUCACAUGGAGAUUCUCGUGGCGAUACUAGGUUGAAAGGGUUUAACACUCGAGCGAGCUUAUUAGCCAGUCGGAGCGUUAGUUUGAAAUUUAAAGAAUAUGUGUUUGAAAAUAUUGCGAGUAGUAAUUAGGUAAUUAUUGGUCGUACCGUGGAAAAUGCAAUGGAACCGAACGUGAGCAGUUAUUAAAAUAACUUGACGCUACAUUAUGUGAAUUGAUAUACUAUAAAAUAGAGAUAUUAAUAGAAAAACUGAGACAUGGAUCGAUAAUAAAACCUCGGGCAAAAUAUUUUCAACUUUCCACCUACUUAGGUGAUUGGAACAAUGCAAGCUUGCUAGCGUAAAUAAACAUAGACUAAACUCAUCUAGUCUAUAACGCAAAACCAUUACCAGAAAAUAAUGUAACAUGUCAACGACUAUACACGCGUUUAAUCGUCCCGAAAGUUUGACAAAGAUAAAGUAAAGUAUAAACUUGUACUAAUAAUACAAAUAACGGAUGAGAAAUUGAGUAAGAAUAAAAUAAUAAAAGUGGUAGGUACGGGACGAGAGAUAGAAGGGUUCGAUUAAUGAAAUUGAGUGAAAGUUGAUUGGUAUUAUCGCGUACGUUGGUGAUUUUUCGCAGUACACCUAUAUCGAUUCGGAGGUGAAACAUCGUUUCCCGUAGAAGCUGGAGAUAAUCGGCAAGGAGAAAAUGUCCCGGACGAUGGCCAGGAAAGGGGGUUGGAACGUCGAGGAGGGUGAAUUCGUUGAACAAGUAAACGCGACGAUGUCGACGUAGUCAAAUUUCCGGUCAUCGAAUCGUGUCAGCUCAGGUAAAUAGCAGGAUGCUAAUUUUUGUUUGUUUUUGGUCGUGUUAUGUAGAACUGCAGAAUGAAUAAAUAGCAUAAAUAUACGUAGUAAAAAGGUUGGUCGGUUCGUUCGAAAUAACAACAGACGCGGCGUUAAUUUUACCUGUAAUCCGAACCCUGCUGGCAGUCUGGCUCUGGUUAUAAACAAAAUCGAGGGUCGCCCGAGGGUGAGGAAAACAGAAGUGGAGGGGGAAGGGACACUGCGAGGUGGUGCGAGGCUGCGGCGAGGUGUCCGUGCGGUGAUACUCGUCAGUAGCACGGCGGUCACAGAUCCUUUCGGAACAAAAAGUUUGCUAAUCAUCGUGGCAUCUUCCUUUGGUCGGUGUUUCUUCGUCAACGCGACACGAGUCGGAUGGCUCGAAUUCGAAUCGCCUGUUUCGUCGGCGAAUUAAAAUCCACCUGGUAGAUGAGAUAAACGGGGAAGAAACGGGAGAAACGACAAGUCCAAGUGCUUCCGUGGAAUUAUCAAAAAUCAUAGCUUGGCUAAAAAAACUCCACGGACCAUUACGGAUGAAAGUCGACCGUCGAUCUUGAUCUUGAGACUCUUGACUGGUAACUCGCGAGUGAGACUAGGGAACAUUUUUUUUCGGCUAGGAUCGAUCGAUCGUUGAGCGGGCUAACUGGAUUGCGCGUCCUGCUGUCCGAUCGAAAAAACAGACGCGAUGUCAACGUUACAAUGCAACGGUCGUUGACACAGUUUGCGAAUUGAGAAUCUUGAGCGGAGGUUUCUGGUACCGCUGCCGCUGCUGCUGCUGCUGCUGCUGCUGCUCCAGUUGAUCCAGUUGAUCC
This is a long non-coding RNA of Hylaeus anthracinus, 2172 nucleotides long. RefSeq lists it as uncharacterized. The transcript has 4 exons. Lineage: Eukaryota; Metazoa; Arthropoda; Insecta; Hymenoptera; Colletidae. The record is from RefSeq and is a predicted model, not a curated record.